Harpia harpyja (harpy eagle) is the source of this 1934-nucleotide long non-coding RNA. RefSeq lists it as uncharacterized. The record is from RefSeq and is a predicted model, not a curated record. Lineage: Eukaryota; Metazoa; Chordata; Aves; Accipitriformes; Accipitridae. The transcript is spliced from 4 exons.
AUUCAUACAGAAGACGCAGAUGUGACCUUCCCUUAUUAACUCUCACGAUGAGUCAUGCUCAUCUCUGUGACUGAGCACUCAGACAUGGCUUUUCAGGUCAGACAGAAACCUACAAGCCCCUUAGAAGGCACCUUCCAGCAAUGCUAAGACUUCUGCUCCAGGACUGCAGCCCCCCUGGCCUCAAGGUGAUCAUGGAGUGGCCUCUCCUGUUUCCUCCUCAGGAGUCACAAUUUAAGAGAGAAAAUUCAAGAGUCCAGAGGCACAUAUGAUGAGAACCUCAACAUUACCUCAGACUCACUGAACACAGGUUUUCCAGAUAUACCUUUCUCUGGAUGGAGUCACAAGAAGAUUCAGACACUCCAAAGGAAAUUCUCCUGAAUAUGUUGGAUUUUGAAGGCAGAGGAGAAGAAGGAAUUCUCAACAUCUUACAAGCUUCUGGUUUGUGUGCUCCUCCUUUUGUUUGUUCUCUGUUAUGCUUAUUAUUUCAUUCUUUCUUUUCUGACCAGGAACAAUUACUAAAACUUUUUUUAGCAUUUUCCACUAAUAGAAAAUUCACAGUAGUGCAUGCUUACUCACGUCAGACUUAGAAGCAGCAGCUUGUUAACUACAGAACAUUUGCUUGAUCUCUCACACAGCCUAAUGCAGCAUCUCAUGCAGUGUUACAAAGUCACAGUCUGCCUAAUUAUCACCAUGUAGAGAAAGUGCUGAAAGACAUUGCUUUUGGAGCCCUAGCUGUGUAACUAUGUUAGUAUCGCCCUUUGGCUGGGCUAAUUAAGUGCUAGUGCAACUCUGUUGUAUCUGGUACCAGAGUUGCCUUCAGUAUAUUUGCAUAGCACUGCACUGUGCCAUAUAGACAGCCCAUAGCAGCUAGCCUUACCACAAGAAUAGUACGUACCGGCAUUUGCUUCUCUCUAUGAUAAUGUGAUACUAUAAUAGAAAGAGAAAUACUCUGGAACUCUGUUCCUGUGCAGUUAUAAACGAAUGUGUCUGGAAAAAAACAUGUGGACUUGGUCUCUGCCUCCAUCUAUCAGAGGUUUUUCAGGGUUUAGAGCUCCUGUUUAGCUAACGAAUAAAACCAUGUUUUCUUGACCUGAUACUAAUUGGUCAGGACCCACACUUUGAAAAGAUUUCUGAAAUGAGUGGAAUAAAACUUUCAUGUAACUGCCUGCACAUGCAAAAGCCAGAUACAAUUUCUUGUUUUGAAAUAGUAAGAUAUCACACUGAUACAUGAGUAAUGCACUUCUGAAUACUCUUAGAAACUAAAUUUUCUCCUCCCCAGUGAUGUAUGUGAGCAGAGCUAUACACCCAUGUGCACAGCACCUCAAGAGCAGGAUUUGAUAAGUAAAAUGGUACCAAAACCCAUUGAAAAUUGGGGUUUGCACCUCAUGGUCAAAUUCCCUGACAUGAAUCCUGAGUACAUUUUUUCUCUAAAGGUGAGAUACUCUUUAAAAGGAAAAACGAAACAGCACUGAAAGACUUGAGAACAAACGGUUCAUUAUCAGAAGAGACAGAAUCCCCAGCAUGGGAGAAGGCAUCUCUACAUGGAAGAUGUUGCACUGGCAUUUGAUUUCCCUGAAUGACAAUCUUGCUUAGCCAAUGAACUGGGAGAUUUUAUACUCUAUUGUCAGAGAAACCUGAGGCAUACACUCAGACCAGAGUGUACUUUGAUUCAGUAUCUCAAAAAGAAGGCAUAGCUUUGAGAAGUAGAAAUCCACAAAAGCCAGCAGAAGUCUGCAGGGUGCAUGCAACAUGCUAGUACCUACAUUUUCCUUUGUUUUGUGUAAUUAUUGCUUUUGUAGAAUUUAAAGGUGCAAACAUUUAUACUAGUUUGUGUUCAAAUGGAAUUUUCAUUUUCCAGGUUGCUUCAGAUAUGAAGCAGAAUUCUUAUACUCCAGUAACACAGCUUAUUGUAAAUUAAUGAGUGUAUCAUUAGU